Molecule: long non-coding RNA, 1624 nt
Organism: Sciurus carolinensis (gray squirrel)
Lineage: Eukaryota; Metazoa; Chordata; Mammalia; Rodentia; Sciuridae
Exons: 3
Source: RefSeq, a predicted model, not a curated record
AGCGAGGGUUGUGCGGAAAGGUUUUCAGCCCCCUGCCUUGGUCUGCUAUAGCCUGUGACACGAUCAAUACCAGGGUGAGCAGCACAGGAAGCUCAGGGAAGAUUAUGAAGAUGAGCAACCCUCUGAAGAAUCCAUUUUUACCACUCCUUCUUCAUUGCCCAAGAAACUGAGGCACACAGAAGCCAAGCAAGGGAUUUCUUCUGGAGGAAUCCUUUGUAGAAGUUCCAAUAAGAAGAGUUGAGUCUGUCAACAAGGCAAUGUUGGGAGUCAAGGACCAAAAAAGCAAGAUGGCGCCAGGCUGGGAAGAGUUUAAGUUUGCUACAUUAAGCAAUGGGACCUGACAGGGGCAAAAAGUGAGAAUAUCAGAAUGGCAGGUUGGGAGAUUUUAUCUCAGAAUUGAGGACAGUAUGAAUUGGAAUGGGAAUUGAAGAGGCAAGGAGCAGAAUAUAGGCAAGAAGUGAAAAGAGACCAAAUCAGGAAGGGGAAAGGAAGUGGUGAACAAAAUUAGGAAAUUGAGAAAGCAUGAUGGAGCCAGGUGGAUGUCAGACCCACAACCCUUCUUUAUCUAGAGGGCCACUGACCAGUACCACAGACAUCCCUGUCCCAAGCUCUGCUUAACAACUUGUCAUGGGUGCUAUAAAAACUCAGGCAGGGUGGCCUUCUAAUCCUGCUGUCUCUGCCCUAGGUUCAAUGUAUAGGUAGUCAUUUUGUUUGGGGGCCCAAACCCUCACGUUAUAAACUUAGCCUGCUAACUGGAGUUUUCUUACUAUUUUGCAGAAUUAUUCUUCCCUUCCUCUCCUGGGACCUGCAAGAUCAAUUCCCCUCUUCUUUUUCUCCCUCCCUGUUUUGCCUUCUCCUCCUUUGGGUCCUAACAGGUUCUAGUCCUUACACCCCCAAGUCACAACACUCUAUUUUGCAGAAUAUCUUCCUCUCCCACUCGGUCAACAGUGUGGUUCCCCAGCCCACCCCCAUUCCACUCUGGUGCCUGUUGCCUAUUAUGGGCUGUUGCUUAGCCUCAACCAUGAAGCAUUCCCUCAGCUUCGAGUUCCUACUCUCUUAGCAAGGCAUCUUUUCAAAUCUCAACUAAUGUAGGAAAAUUAAGAAUAGCAAAGAUAGCACUAACAAAAUUGAAGUUUCUGUCUUUUUGUUACCCCAAGACAUUGAAUCCUAUGUGGACAAAAGGUUUGUUCAACCAUGUAGAAAUAUUACUUUCUAGGAAGGAUAAGGAUAUGAAUAUAGACCUGUAGGAAGUACUAAGGUGUGAUCGAUUUUGCCUCCAGAGGGUGAGUUCAGGCCCUGAGAAAGUGCUGUUCCUGCCGUCUACCAAGAGGCCCAGGGCUCUGAAACACAGGCUAGAAGACCAGAUGCGUCUUCAUGAAAUUCUGUGGUGACAGGUCAAAGCGGAAGUGCUUUAGAAAUUCGCAACCUUUGACCUCUGGCAAGAAGAAAACAGUUAACUGUUGUCUUAUAGUGUAAAAAAGAAAAAAAAAAAAAAAACUGGAUUUUUGUGUGCAUAUGUGCUUGUGUAUAAAAUCCCGAAAUUCAAAUAGUGUUGCUUAGUUUCGAUUCAGAUGUUAGAUGAACUUUCCUUCCGUUAUUUCUGGAUUGGUAAAAACCUGAGAAA